UAAAUUUGUAAAUCAAUACCGGUGUUUUAAUCUCAUUUAUUUAUGAAGAAAAAGUAUCGCAUGAAACUCAUAAAUAACAUAUUUGGCUUUCUUAUUCAGGAUAUAUCUUCAGGAAACAAGAUUUGUCGUUGCAACUCAUGUAAAUACACAUGUAUAAGCGCUAGAUUUUUAAACAAACCAUGUCCCUCUCUUAACCUUGAAUAUUUAAGUUAUCAAUCAUACAGAAAAUUGAAAAAAGUUAAUCUUUAAGAAUCUUUAGACUCAUCCAGUACACAUGGUACCAGGAUACAUACCUUUCAUAUAGCUGAUCAUAUCUGGUUUUUGGUGGGGUUCGUGUUGCUAAGUCUUUGGUUUUUCUAUUUUGUGUAUUGCAUACUUUUUUGUGUUUUGUUUGUUUUCUUUAUUUUUGCAUUGGCGUCUUUAUAUACAUAAAAAAAGAAGAUGUGGUAUGAUAGCCAAUUAGACAACUCUCAACAAGUGACCAAAUGACACAGAAAUUGACCGAAAU
This 508-nucleotide long non-coding RNA is filed under the name Mytilus galloprovincialis (Mediterranean mussel). Lineage: Eukaryota; Metazoa; Mollusca; Bivalvia; Mytilida; Mytilidae. The record is from RNAcentral.